UUCGCAAUGCCCGAAAGGGUGACGAAGCGACGCCGCGUGCGGGAGGAAGGCCUUCGGGUUGUAAACCGCUGUCGGGAGUUAAGAAAUGCAAGAAUGUUAAUAGCGUUCUUGCUUGACUAAGGCUCCGGAGGAAGCCACGGCUAACUCUGUGCCAGCAGCCGCGGUAAUACAGAGGCGGCAAGCGUUGUUCGGAAUUAUUGGGCGUAAAGAGCACGUAGGCGGCCUUGCAAGUCAGUUGUGAAAGCCUUCCGCUUAACGGAAGAACAGCAGCCGAUACUGCAUGGCUUGAGUGCGGGAGGGGAGAGUGGAACUUCUGGUGGAGCGGUGAAAUGCGUAGAUAUCAGAAGGAACGCCGGCGGCGAAAGCGACUCUCUAGACCGUGACUGACGCUGAGUGUGCGAAAGCUAGGGGAGCAAACGGGAUUAGAUACCCCGGUAGUCCUAGCCGUAAACGAUGGGCACUAAGUAGAGGGGUUUU
RNAcentral lists this ribosomal RNA (477 nucleotides) under uncultured Candidatus Brocadia sp. RNAcentral's name for it is "bacterial SSU rRNA". It matches the Rfam family "Bacterial small subunit ribosomal RNA", at positions 365 to 832 of the family's 1533-position model. Lineage: Bacteria; Pseudomonadati; Planctomycetota; Candidatus Brocadiia; Candidatus Brocadiales; Candidatus Brocadiaceae. The record is from RNAcentral.